Ailuropoda melanoleuca (giant panda) is the source of this 730-nucleotide long non-coding RNA. RefSeq lists it as uncharacterized. The record is from RefSeq and is a predicted model, not a curated record. Lineage: Eukaryota; Metazoa; Chordata; Mammalia; Carnivora; Ursidae. The transcript has 3 exons.
CCGGUGAGGAAAUUCAAGUAUUUGUCCAAUCAACUUUUUGGCGGCAUUUGUGAGGUCCAGAGGGGUAGGGAAGGGGACCAGGACUGGAAUAGUCCUUUAGAGCCUUGAGCCCCCUUGGCUGAGACCAGACUGGAGCUCUCCCAGAGCUAGGGCAAGGCAAACAAACCUGGCUUGGACCUUGUACCUUGUGCGAGGCAAGUGGAAGAGAGCAGAAAACAGGAGGUAGGUAGCAAAACAAAACCGAUCUGAAAUUCAUUCCUGGUCACACCUGGACUCCCAGGACGGGUGCAUGCCGGGCCAGGACAGUCCCCAUCCAGGUCCUGAGCUUGCACAAACAACCUGAUUGAUUCUGCAACCCCCUUAGGGACUCUCAGGCCAAGUUUCUGAAGCAUGGAGACCUGAAGUGAUUCAGCUAUGGUCAACGUGGCUAAUACUUGGCAAGAUGUAAACCCAAGAGCCCCUGUUCGUAUCCUUACCCCGGAGAUUUAUACUCCUUAUCCUUACCCCCCUAGACUGGUCCCCUUGAUCUUUCCACUGGAGUGUUUGUGCCCUCAGAGUCUCUGGGAUAAGCCAAAGUAUUUUUGAGAUUCAACUUCCAGAAAGGUCAACAGUAAGCAAACAUUUCAGAAAAAAAUUAAACUUUAAGUCAUUUAAGACAUUUUUAUGCAGCCGUAUGUGACCGUGAAUAAUGCAAAAAACCAGGUGAAUUUUUUAGAUGAAAAAGGAGGCU